This 266-nucleotide long non-coding RNA is filed under the name Callithrix jacchus (white-tufted-ear marmoset). RNAcentral describes it as "lncRNA (ENSCJAG00000051959.2)". The record is from RNAcentral. Lineage: Eukaryota; Metazoa; Chordata; Mammalia; Primates; Cebidae.
AGUUUACAAAAUUAUUUUUUAAUUUUUAUUAUUUUUAUAUUUUACAGAGAUGGGGCUCUUGCUGUAUUGCUCAGGCUGGUCUUGAACUUCUGGACUCAAGCAAUCCCCCACCCCAGCCUCCCCAGGUGCUGGGAUUAAAGAUAAAAUUGACAAUGAACAUGGUUAAACAGGCAGGGAUGACAUUAUUCAAGACUGUUGUAAUAGUGUUCAAGACUGCUGCAAUAGGAGAAAGAACGUGAACUCAACUCUGCUGAUGCAAAUGGUGG